UAUAAAAUAGUGUAGAAUGCACGAAGAUUUUUGGUUUCUUUGGUAUUGGUGUUGAGCCAUUUUUUAUAG
This 69-nucleotide transfer RNA is filed under the name Yininemertes pratensis. RNAcentral describes it as "tRNA-Gln". The record is from RNAcentral. Lineage: Eukaryota; Metazoa; Nemertea; Pilidiophora; Heteronemertea; Lineidae.